UCUUCCUCUCUCUCUUUCCUCGACCUUGCGUCUCCCCAUGCCGCCCAUUGUCACCCCUUCUUUGACACUAGUAGAGAGGCAGAGCUCGGUCGGCAGUCCAAGCAGAUGGAAUUAUUUGAAAAGUGCUACAAGACAAAGGACGAUGGCGGCUAGAGUGGGCCGAGGGCGGCUAAGGUGGCGGAGACGUUCCAAAACCUCCUUCGACAGACCCCCCGACCUCGAACCAAGACGAUAUGAACAUCGCUAACAAGGAGGG
This is a non-coding RNA of Sesamum indicum (sesame), 256 nucleotides long. The record is from RefSeq and is a predicted model, not a curated record. Lineage: Eukaryota; Viridiplantae; Streptophyta; Magnoliopsida; Lamiales; Pedaliaceae.